UACGUAGGGUGCAAGCGUUAAUCGGAAUUACUGGGCGUAAAGCGUGCGCAGGCGGCUUUGCAAGACAGAUGUGAAAUCCCCGGGCUUAACCUGGGAACUGCAUUUGUGACUGCAUGGCUGGAGUGCGGCAGAGGGGGAUGGAAUUCCGCGUGUAGCAGUGAAAUGCGUAGAUAUGCGGAGGAACACCGAUGGCGAAGGCAAUCCCCUGGGCCUGCACUGACGCUCAUGCACGAAAGUGUGGGGAGCAAACAGG
RNAcentral lists this ribosomal RNA (253 nucleotides) under uncultured bacterium. RNAcentral describes it as "partial 16S ribosomal RNA". It matches the Rfam family "Bacterial small subunit ribosomal RNA", at positions 524 to 776 of the family's 1533-position model. The record is from RNAcentral.